GAUGAAGAACGCAGCAAAAUGCGAUAAGUAAUGUGAAUUGCAGAAUUCAGUGAAUCAUCGAAUCUUUGAACGCACAUUGCGCCCGCCAGUAUUCUGGCGGGCAUGCCUGUUCGAGCGUCAUUUCAACCCUCAAGCACAGCUUGGUGUUGGGACUCGCGUUAAUUCGCGUUCCCCAAAUUGAUUGGCGGUCACGUCGAGCUUCCAUAGCGUAGUAGUAAAACCCUCGUUACUGGUAAUCGUCGCGGCCACGCCGUUAAACCCCAACUUCUGAAUGUUGACCUCGGAUCAGGUAGGAAUACCCGCUGAACUUAAGCAUAUCAAAGCGGAGGA
Molecule: unclassified non-coding RNA, 330 nt
Filed under: soil metagenome
Description: partial contains 5.8S ribosomal RNA, internal transcribed spacer 2, and large subunit ribosomal RNA
Rfam family: 5.8S ribosomal RNA (bases 1-120)
Source: RNAcentral